GUUGAUUUAGCAUAAGAAGUGCAUUUGUUUUAAGAUCAAAAGAUAUUACGUCAACA
This 56-nucleotide transfer RNA is filed under the name Pingus sinensis. Its description in RNAcentral is "tRNA-Leu". Lineage: Eukaryota; Metazoa; Nematoda; Chromadorea; Rhabditida; Quimperiidae. The record is from RNAcentral.